Molecule: non-coding RNA, 27 nt
Filed under: Cricetulus griseus (Chinese hamster)
Lineage: Eukaryota; Metazoa; Chordata; Mammalia; Rodentia; Cricetidae
Source: RNAcentral
GUAGAUUUUUGUACCAUUUGUGAUCAC